RNAcentral lists this ribosomal RNA (610 nucleotides) under Bacillus anthracis (anthrax bacterium). Its description in RNAcentral is "bacterial LSU rRNA". It matches the Rfam family "Bacterial large subunit ribosomal RNA", at positions 1 to 604 of the family's 2925-position model. Lineage: Bacteria; Bacillati; Bacillota; Bacilli; Caryophanales; Bacillaceae. The record is from RNAcentral.
AUGGUUAAGAUAGAAAGGGCGCACGGUGGAUGCCUUGACACUAGGAGUCGAUGAAGGACGGGACUAACGCCGAUAUGCUUCGGGGAGCUGUAAGUAAGCGUUGAUCCGAAGAUUUCCGAAUGGGGAGACCCACCAUACGUAAUGGUAUGGUAUCCUUAUCUGAAUACAUAGGGUAAGGAAGGCAGACCGAGGGAACUGAAACAUCGAAGUACCUCGAGGAAGAGAAAGCAAAUGCGAUUUCCUGAGUAGCGGCGAGCGAAACGGAACAUAGCCCAAACCAAGAGGCUUGCCUCUUGGGGUUGUAGGACAUGCUAUACGGAGUUACAAAGGAAAGAGGUAGACGAAGCGACCUGGAAAGGGCCGUCGUAGAGGGUAACAACACCGUAGUCGAAACUUCGUUCUCUCUUGAAUGUAUCCUGAGUACGGCGGAACAAGUGAAAUUCCGUCGGAAUCUGGGAGGACCAUCUCCCAAGGCUAAAUACACCCUAGUGAUCGAUAGUGAACCAGUACCGUGAGGGAAAGGUGAAAAGCACCCCGGAAGGGGAGUGAAAGAGAUCAUGAAACCGUGUGCCUACAAAUAGUCAGAGCCCGUUAACGGGGGAUGGCGUGC